UGCCAGCCGCCGCGGUAAUACAUAGGGGUCAAGCGUUGUCCGGAUUUAUUGGGCGUAAAGCGUGCGUAGGCGGACUAUUAAGUCUGAUGUGAAAUCCCUCGGCUCAACCGAGGACCUGCAUUGGAUACUGGUAGUCUUGAGUCCCGGAGAGGAUAGCGGAAUUCCUAGUGUAGAGGUGAAAUUCGUAGAUAUUAGGAGGAACACCAGUGGCGAAAGCGGCUAUCUGGACGGUGACUGACGCUGAGGCACGAAAGCAUAGGUAGCAAACAGGAUUAGAUA
This 279-nucleotide ribosomal RNA is filed under the name uncultured bacterium. Its description in RNAcentral is "partial 16S ribosomal RNA". It matches the Rfam family "Bacterial small subunit ribosomal RNA", at positions 506 to 784 of the family's 1533-position model. The record is from RNAcentral.